GGGGACUUUAAUGAAAUUUUACAAUCCCAUGAGAAAGAUGGGGGAGCGGCACGCCCCCAACGGUGCAUGCAGGCCUUUAGCAGCGCGCUGAGCAACUGUGGGCUUGAUGAUCUCAGAUACUCGGGUGACAUCUUCACCUGGCAACGAGGUAGAAUCCGGGAGCGACUUGACAGAGCUGUUUCAAGUAGCUCUUGGGCUGACCUAUUCCCAGCUUAUGGGGUUUCAAAUGAAUCGUUUAAUAAAUCAGACCACCGACCGAUCUUGAUAGAUACUGAUUUUCAGCUUGGCUUACAACCAAGGGGUCCGCCGGGACCGAGGAAAUUUGAAGCUAGGUGGCUUGCGGAGGAGGACGUGGAGGUGGUUGUUCAAGCGGCCUGGGAUAGGGAAAAAUCCAUGGGAACCGAGCCUUACUCACAGGUGACUGGUGAGAUUCAUGCAGCCCUGCACACCUGGGAUAAAGAGACCCUAAAAGGCCCGCGAACCCGGCUUAGGAAACUACAGAAAGAGUUGAAUGAGGUGCUUUCGGGCCCGCUGUCGGAUGAGGCUGUGGCUCGACAACACGAACUACAUAUGCAGAUCGAGAAUCUACUUGAACAAGAAGAGAUAUAUUGGAUGCAGAGAGGGCGUGCUGAUUGGCUCUGCCGUGGCGAUCAAAACACGGAUUUUUUUUCACCGCGCAGCCACGGGGAGGCGCAAGCAGAAUUUUAUCAAGAAAUUGAGAGGAGAUUCAGGGGACUGGAUCGAGGAUGA
Molecule: ribosomal RNA, 750 nt
Filed under: Triticum aestivum (bread wheat)
Lineage: Eukaryota; Viridiplantae; Streptophyta; Magnoliopsida; Poales; Poaceae
Description: partial small subunit ribosomal RNA
Source: RNAcentral